Molecule: long non-coding RNA, 7918 nt
Organism: Lagopus muta (rock ptarmigan)
Lineage: Eukaryota; Metazoa; Chordata; Aves; Galliformes; Phasianidae
Exons: 7
Source: RefSeq, a predicted model, not a curated record
CGCGUGAGAAGAAGCGGGGUGCUGUGAGGGAAAGGCGGCGGCGGAGGCGGCGUCGAUGGCGGCCACGAUGAACUUGGCCACUCUGCCCAACUCUGUGAUCCCCUGCAGCUCCAACUGGAAGUACACCAUGCGCCAGUGAGGAGCCGCUGCCAGAGGCAGGAACAAGCAAGAGGGUGCGGAAGCGUGCAGACGCGGGGGGGAAGGAGAGAGGCUCCCUGGGCAAAGCACCCGUCCCGUUAGCGGGGCGGCAGUCACAUUGAGUCCCAUUUGAGUUUGAGCGUUGCCGGCGCCUUGGCCGGCUUUGUGCUGGGCGACCUCCCUGUAAGCAGGGCUCGGGUCUUUGCUUUUGCUGUAGUUGGCCUUUUGCCUUGCUGCUCCUUUGGCUGCCUGGGGAGCGUGGGCCCCUGUAACGCAGGGCGAGAGCCACCUCUCCGCACCUGAGUGGGAAACGGAGCUCGCCGGACCCCGAGGCCACCCUGUAAGCAGGGUAGUGCCGUUUCCCCGCCCCUCUUCCUCCUGCGGCCCCUCGGCAUCAUCGUUGCCUGGAGGUGGCCUGUCAAUGCGAUGCGACGGCCCCGUACUCGGGGUGUGCGUCACGGCAUCUGGCCUUUGGCUUUAGCUGGGAAGCCCCUUGGCACGUUGAGGUCUGUGGCCUCCGUGCAGGCUAGGGACAGGUCACAGGCUCUUGUCUGUUGCCCGCGGUUGUGGGUUUAUUCCCAGGGUUUGGCUGCGCUGCGUUGUCCUUCCCUUUGGGAAAGUCGCCUGUGUGUGUGCGCGUUGCCCUUCCUUUCCUUGUUUGUGUUUGUGGAGUGAGAGCGACUGAGCUUUCCCUUUAGGCCCCCACCAAGAUGGCUGCAGCUUAGCUUCGACUUCCCUGGGGGGAACGGAGGACUGUGGUGCACGCCGCAAAAGGGGUGUUCCCUCUCAGUCCCGCGAGCGCAGCGAGUGUCCUGUCUUCCUCCUUUGUACUUGGUGUGGAUCAGGGCCACGUGGUGGUUGUGUGGCCGAGGCCGCUCUGUAGCCAGGGCUUGGGCCUGUUCUUGCGUGGGCGCCUGUUCCGCUGGUGGCGUGACAGCCCCGUAGCCGGGGCGUGUGUCCCAAGCUGCGGAGCCCUCUGUCCCCCGAGCGGCCCGCCCGCCCUGUAAUCAGGCGCGGGGAGGCUGCGGCGUUGCAGCCGGCUGCUCUAGCCAUCCAGCUGGUGGGAAUGACCCCUCCCUGUCCCGUCAGAGGGUGCAGGUUGAGGCGCUGCUUUUGCGUGUGGGGCGACCUCCCCGCUCGGUGGGUCGAGGCUGCUCCCUGGGUUCCCAAAGACGAGACGUUGGUGCUGUUGUGGUGCUGCCGGGCGGGCCAGCCUGUAGCUCAGGCGUUGGCGGGAGCCUCGUGCUCCGCGGGGCUUCUUGGUGAGGGUGGGCAGCGGGGGCACCGUCCUGUAGGCAGGGCUGCGCGUGCCCCCCGCGUGUGCUGGCUUGGUGAGCUGCGUUGUGAGAGACCCCCUGUACUCAGGCGGGAAUGUGGCCCCGGCCUUUCAGAGGCACGGGGCCGCGAGACGUGGGCUUGGGCUUGCGCCCUCCCCGGAAUCAGGGCUGGGGCCCCGACCGCGGCAUUUGGCCGUGCCGCCCCGCUGCCUGGCAGCUGAGAGUCGCUCCCGCCGCUGGGGGGGAAACCGAGCUCUGUGGCUCCAGGGGUGUCGUCCACCCGCCUGUAAUCAGGGUCUGGGUGCGCGAGCGCUUGUGCUCAGCUGGCAGCCUGUGUGGGGUGACCGCCCCGCUAGCGGGGUGCGGGUCCAGGUGCCCCCGGAGUGGGAGAGAAGGAGCCUCCCGCGGCCGCUAGGGAUGGGGGCUGCCCUGUAAGGCAGGGAGCGACAGUGCCCCGCAGUCCCAGGCCCUUUGCAAUGGAGGCAGUGGCCGGGGGUCCCCUGUAAGCAGGGAAGCUGCCUCUUUGGCCGCUGCUGUGUGUGUGCCCAGCUGCAUUUGCCCAGUCUGCCCGCCUCUGUGAUCCCCCGCAGCACCGGCUGGAAGCGCGCCGUGCGUCCGUGAGGAGCCGCUGCGGAAGAGAGAAGGAGAAGCGGCGUGGGAACGCGGGAGGCAGGAGCGAGCGCGCAAGCAAGCAAGCAAGAAGAGGAUGCGGAAGCGUGCAGACGCGGGGGGGAAGGAGAGAGGCUCCCUGGGCAAAGCACCCGUCCCGUUAGCGGGGCGGCAGUCACAUUGAGUCCCAUUUGAGUUUGAGCGUUGCCGGCGCCUUGGCCGGCUUUGUGCUGGGCGACCUCCCUGUAAGCAGGGCUCGGGUCUUUGCUUUUGCUGUAGUUGGCCUUUUGCCUUGCUGCUCCUUUGGCUGCCUGGGGAGCGUGGGCCCCUGUAACGCAGGGCGAGAGCCACCUCUCCGCACCUGAGUGGGAAACGGAGCUCGCCGGACCCCGAGGCCACCCUGUAAGCAGGGUAGUGCCGUUUCCCCGCCCCUCUUCCUCCUGCGGCCCCUCGGCAUCAUCGUUGCCUGGAGGUGGCCUGUCAAUGCGAUGCGACGGCCCCGUACUCGGGGUGUGCGUCACGGCAUCUGGCCUUUGGCUUUAGCUGGGAAGCCCCUUGGCACGUUGAGGUCUGUGGCCUCCGUGCAGGCUAGGGACAGGUCACAGGCUCUUGUCUGUUGCCCGCGGUUGUGGGUUUAUUCCCAGGGUUUGGCUGCGCUGCGUUGUCCUUCCCUUUGGGAAAGUCGCCUGUGUGUGUGCGCGUUGCCCUUCCUUUCCUUGUUUGUGUUUGUGGAGUGAGAGCGACUGAGCUUUCCCUUUAGGCCCCCACCAAGAUGGCUGCAGCUUAGCUUCGACUUCCCUGGGGGGAACGGAGGACUGUGGUGCACGCCGCAAAAGGGGUGUUCCCUCUCAGUCCCGCGAGCGCAGCGAGUGUCCUGUCUUCCUCCUUUGUACUUGGUGUGGAUCAGGGCCACGUGGUGGUUGUGUGGCCGAGGCCGCUCUGUAGCCAGGGCUUGGGCCUGUUCUUGCGUGGGCGCCUGUUCCGCUGGCGGCGUGACAGCCCCGUAGCCGGGGCGUGUGUCCCAAGCUGCGGAGCCCUCUGUCCCCCGAGCGGCCCGCCCGCCCUGUCAUCAGGCGCGGGGAGGCUGCGGCGUUGCAGCCGGCUGCUCUAGCCAUCCAGCUGGUGGGAAUGACCCCUCCCUGUCCCGUCAGAGGGUGCAGGUUGAGGCGCUGCUUUUGCGUGUGGGGCGACCUCCCCGCUCGGUGGGUCGAGGCUGCUCCCUGGGUUCCCAAAGACGAGACGUUGGUGCUGUUGUGGUGCUGCCGGGCGGGCCAGCCUGUAGCUCAGGCGUUGGCGGGAGCCUCGUGCUCCGCGGGGCUUCUUGGUGAGGGUGGGCAGCGGGGGCACCGUCCUGUAGGCAGGGCUGCGCGUGCCCCCCGCGUGUGCUGGCUUGGUGAGCUGCGUUGUGAGAGACCCCCUGUACUCAGGCGGGAAUGUGGCCCCGGCCUUUCAGAGGCACGGGGCCGCGAGACGUGGGCUUGGGCUUGCGCCCUCCCCGGAAUCAGGGCUGGGGCCCCGACCGCGGCAUUUGGCCGUGCCGCCCCGCUGCCUGGCAGCUGAGAGUCGCUCCCGCCGCUGGGGGGGAAACCGAGCUCUGUGGCUCCAGGGGUGUCGUCCACCCGCCUGUAAUCAGGGUCUGGGUGCGCGAGCGCUUGUGCUCAGCUGGCAGCCUGUGUGGGGUGACCGCCCCGCUAGCGGGGUGCGGGUCCAGGUGCCCCCGGAGUGGGAGAGAAGGAGCCUCCCGCGGCCGCUAGGGAUGGGGGCUGCCCUGUAAGGCAGGGAGCGACAGUGCCCCGCAGUCCCAGGCCCUUUGCAAUGGAGGCAGUGGCCGGGGGUCCCCUGUAAGCAGGGAAGCUGCCUCUUUGGCCGCUGCUGUGUGUGUGCCCAGCUGCAUUUGCCCAGUCUGCCCGCCUCUGUGAUCCCCCGCAGCACCGGCUGGAAGCGCGCCGUGCGUCCGUGAGGAGCCGCUGCGGAAGAGAGAAGGAGAAGCGGUGUGGGAACGCGGGAGGCAGGAGCGAGCGCGCAAGCAAGCAAGCAAGCAAGAAGAGGAUGCGGAAGCGUGCAGACGCGGGGGGGAAGGAGAGAGGCUCCCUGGGCAAAGCACCCGUCCCGUUAGCGGGGCGGCAGUCACAUUGAGUCCCAUUUGAGUUUGAGUGUUGCCGGCGCCUUGGCCGGCUUUGUGCUGGGCGACCUCCCUGUAAGCAGGGCUCGGGUCUUUGCUUUUGCUGUAGUUGGCCUUUUGCCUUGCUGCUCCUUUGGCUGCCUGGGGAGCGUGGGCCCCUGUAACGCAGGGCGAGAGCCACCUCUCCGCACCUGAGUGGGAAACGGAGCUCGCCGGACCCCGAGGCCACCCUGUAAGCAGGGUAGUGCCGUUUCCCCGCCCCUCUUCCUCCUGCGGCCCCUCGGCAUCAUCGUUGCCUGGAGGUGGCCUGUCAAUGCGAUGCGACGGCCCCGUACUCGGGGUGUGCGUCACGGCAUCUGGCCUUUGGCUUUAGCUGGGAAGCCCCUUGGCACGUUGAGGUCUGUGGCCUCCGUGCAGGCUAGGGACAGGUCACAGGCUCUUGUCUGUUGCCCGCGGUUGUGGGUUUAUUCCCAGGGUUUGGCUGCGCUGCGUUGUCCUUCCCUUUGGGAAAGUCGCCUGUGUGUGUGCGCGUUGCCCUUCCUUUCCUUGUUUGUGUUUGUGGAGUGAGAGCGACUGAGCUUUCCCUUUAGGCCCCCACCAAGAUGGCUGCAGCUUAGCUUCGACUUCCCUGGGGGGAACGGAGGACUGUGGUGCACGCCGCAAAAGGGGUGUUCCCUCUCAGUCCCGCGAGCGCAGCGAGUGUCCUGUCUUCCUCCUUUGUACUUGGUGUGGAUCAGGGCCACGUGGUGGUUGUGUGGCCGAGGCCGCUCUGUAGCCAGGGCUUGGGCCUGUUCUUGCGUGGGCGCCUGUUCCGCUGGCGGCGUGACAGCCCCGUAGCCGGGGCGUGUGUCCCAAGCUGCGGAGCCCUCUGUCCCCCGAGCGGCCCGCCCGCCCUGUCAUCAGGCGCGGGGAGGCUGCGGCGUUGCAGCCGGCUGCUCUAGCCAUCCAGCUGGUGGGAAUGACCCCUCCCUGUCCCGUCAGAGGGUGCAGGUUGAGGCGCUGCUUUUGCGUGUGGGGCGACCUCCCCGCUCGGUGGGUCGAGGCUGCUCCCUGGGUUCCCAAAGACGAGACGUUGGUGCUGUUGUGGUGCUGCCGGGCGGGCCAGCCUGUAGCUCAGGCGUUGGCGGGAGCCUCGUGCUCCGCGGGGCUUCUUGGUGAGGGUGGGCAGCGGGGGCACCGUCCUGUAGGCAGGGCUGCGCGUGCCCCCCGCGUGUGCUGGCUUGGUGAGCUGCGUUGUGAGAGACCCCCUGUACUCAGGCGGGAAUGUGGCCCCGGCCUUUCAGAGGCACGGGGCCGCGAGACGUGGGCUUGGGCUUGCGCCCUCCCCGGAAUCAGGGCUGGGGCCCCGACCGCGGCAUUUGGCCGUGCCGCCCCGCUGCCUGGCAGCUGAGAGUCGCUCCCGCCGCUGGGGGGGAAACCGAGCUCUGUGGCUCCAGGGGUGUCGUCCACCCGCCUGUAAUCAGGGUCUGGGUGCGCGAGCGCUUGUGCUCAGCUGGCAGCCUGUGUGGGGUGACCGCCCCGCUAGCGGGGUGCGGGUCCAGGUGCCCCCGGAGUGGGAGAGAAGGAGCCUCCCGCGGCCGCUAGGGAUGGGGGCUGCCCUGUAAGGCAGGGAGCGACAGUGCCCCGCAGUCCCAGGCCCUUUGCAAUGGAGGCAGUGGCCGGGGGUCCCCUGUAAGCAGGGAAGCUGCCUCUUUGGCCGCUGCUGUGUGUGUGCCCAGCUGCAUUUGCCCAGUCUGCCCGCCUCUGUGAUCCCCCGCAGCACCGGCUGGAAGCGCGCCGUGCGUCCGUGAGGAGCCGCUGCGGAAGAGAGAAGGAGAAGCGGCGUGGGAACGCGGGAGGCAGGAGCGAGCGCGCAAGCAAGCAAGCAAGCAAGAAGAGGAUGCGGAAGCGUGCAGACGCGGGGGGGAAGGAGAGAGGCUCCCUGGGCAAAGCACCCGUCCCGUUAGCGGGGCGGCAGUCACAUUGAGUCCCAUUUGAGUUUGAGCGUUGCCGGCGCCUUGGCCGGCUUUGUGCUGGGCGACCUCCCUGUAAGCAGGGCUCGGGUCUUUGCUUUUGCUGUAGUUGGCCUUUUGCCUUGCUGCUCCUUUGGCUGCCUGGGGAGCGUGGGCCCCUGUAACGCAGGGCGAGAGCCACCUCUCCGCACCUGAGUGGGAAACGGAGCUCGCCGGACCCCGAGGCCACCCUGUAAGCAGGGUAGUGCCGUUUCCCCGCCCCUCUUCCUCCUGCGGCCCCUCGGCAUCAUCGUUGCCUGGAGGUGGCCUGUCAAUGCGAUGCGACGGCCCCGUACUCGGGGUGUGCGUCACGGCAUCUGGCCUUUGGCUUUAGCUGGGAAGCCCCUUGGCACGUUGAGGUCUGUGGCCUCCGUGCAGGCUAGGGACAGGUCACAGGCUCUUGUCUGUUGCCCGCGGUUGUGGGUUUAUUCCCAGGGUUUGGCUGCGCUGCGUUGUCCUUCCCUUUGGGAAAGUCGCCUGUGUGUGUGCGCGUUGCCCUUCCUUUCCUUGUUUGUGUUUGUGGAGUGAGAGCGACUGAGCUUUCCCUUUAGGCCCCCACCAAGAUGGCUGCAGCUUAGCUUCGACUUCCCUGGGGGGAACGGAGGACUGUGGUGCACGCCGCAAAAGGGGUGUUCCCUCUCAGUCCCGCGAGCGCAGCGAGUGUCCUGUCUUCCUCCUUUGUACUUGGUGUGGAUCAGGGCCACGUGGUGGUUGUGUGGCCGAGGCCGCUCUGUAGCCAGGGCUUGGGCCUGUUCUUGCGUGGGCGCCUGUUCCGCUGGCGGCGUGACAGCCCCGUAGCCGGGGCGUGUGUCCCAAGCUGCGGAGCCCUCUGUCCCCCGAGCGGCCCGCCCGCCCUGUAAUCAGGCGCGGGGAGGCUGCGGCGUUGCAGCCGGCUGCUCUAGCCAUCCAGCUGGUGGGAAUGACCCCUCCCUGUCCCGUCAGAGGGUGCAGGUUGAGGCGCUGCUUUUGCGUGUGGGGCGACCUCCCCGCUCGGUGGGUCGAGGCUGCUCCCUGGGUUCCCAAAGACGAGACGUUGGUGCUGUUGUGGUGCUGCCGGGCGGGCCAGCCUGUAGCUCAGGCGUUGGCGGGAGCCUCGUGCUCCGCGGGGCUUCUUGGUGAGGGUGGGCAGCGGGGGCACCGUCCUGUAGGCAGGGCUGCGCGUGCCCCCCGCGUGUGCUGGCUUGGUGAGCUGCGUUGUGAGAGACCCCCUGUACUCAGGCGGGAAUGUGGCCCCGGCCUUUCAGAGGCACGGGGCCGCGAGACGUGGGCUUGGGCUUGCGCCCUCCCCGGAAUCAGGGCUGGGGCCCCGACCGCGGCAUUUGGCCGUGCCGCCCCGCUGCCUGGCAGCUGAGAGUCGCUCCCGCCGCUGGGGGGGAAACCGAGCUCUGUGGCUCCAGGGGUGUCGUCCACCCGCCUGUAAUCAGGGUCUGGGUGCGCGAGCGCUUGUGCUCAGCUGGCAGCCUGUGUGGGGUGACCGCCCCGCUAGCGGGGUGCGGGUCCAGGUGCCCCCGGAGUGGGAGAGAAGGAGCCUCCCGCGGCCGCUAGGGAUGGGGGCUGCCCUGUAAGGCAGGGAGCGACAGUGCCCCGCAGUCCCAGGCCCUUUGCAAUGGAGGCAGUGGCCGGGGGUCCCCUGUAAGCAGGGAAGCUGCCUCUUUGGCCGCUGCUGUGUGUGUGCCCAGCUGCAUUUGCCCAGUCUGCCCGCCUCUGUGAUCCCCCGCAGCACCGGCUGGAAGCGCGCCGUGCGUCCGUGAGGAGCCGCUGCGGAAGAGAGAAGGAGAAGU